This is a long non-coding RNA of Oryza sativa Japonica Group (Japanese rice), 892 nucleotides long. RefSeq lists it as uncharacterized. The record is from RefSeq and is a predicted model, not a curated record. Lineage: Eukaryota; Viridiplantae; Streptophyta; Magnoliopsida; Poales; Poaceae.
UUUCUUCUCCCCUCCUCCCAAUUAUACUCUUCAGUUUUUUUUUUCAUAUUUACAGUGGUAUGUCGGGAACAUGGUGCCUAUUAAUGACACCAGAAUGCAUAUAUUCAUAUUACUCUUCUUUUUUCUGGAGAGAGGCAGAGACGAAUUAAGGAUCGAAGUGCUACUUGUAAUGGAAUGAAAGGGAGAGAAAGAAACAGAAAGUAGAUGUGCACACCCUUGCAGCAAGUUGAUUUUGAUUGUUUCUGUACAAGUAACUUUCCUUCCUCAGUGAUUUUGAUUGUUUCGCUCUCUUCCUCCUGAUGGGCCCUGGAGCAACGAUUUGAUGUUGGCUCGAUUGCGUUGUUCUGAUUCACGACAGUAUCAGUUGGAUGGCCCAGAUUUUGAACUCGAAGCAAGGGUGUCUUCUCGUCUAGAUGCGCUGUCCUACUCUUCUACCAACAUUUUUGGUAGUACUGCUCAAGCCCUCCAAUCAUUUUGGGAUGGAGUGAAUCUACUUGGGGAAAGUUUACGGACAAACAGUAGAUAUCAAAGAGAGAUCCAGCAUUUUGUGUGGUUGCAGAGAAAUUCCGUCUCCCUUCCUGAUCGAUCAACCUAUGGCCAGUAGAAGGUCAUUUUCAAGGCAACAUAUUGGCUUCGUCUGUGGGCACAGUUACAAAAGUGUGAUGAAGAUGCAGAUUUCUUAAUUGUUGCAUGUCGUAAGGUUGAAACGAUGGUUAUGCAACUGUUUGCCAAUCAUGGAUGGAGAUUUACCAAUAAACUGGAAUAAUGUUAUUUUGUCUAGUUUGGUUGGUGUGUUUGCUUCUAUUUGAACUUCACUCUUACAGAGUGCUAGUUUGUAAUAAUUGGCUGUAACUCUUUCGAAUAAAGGUCGGGAUGCUAUUUCAUUCCAUUA